UUAUUUUUUAAUAAUUAAUUUUUAUAUAAUUUUUAUAUAAUUAAUAUUUUAGUUAUUUAUAGGAAUAAAUAUUAUAAUAUAAUAAUAUUUUAAUAAUGAUAAAAUAAGUAUUUUAUAUAUAUAAAAUAUAGUAACUCGGCAAAUAUUAUUUUCGCCUGUUUAACAAAAACAUGGUCUUUUGUUUAUAUAAAAGAUCUAACCUGCCCUAUGAUUUAUUUAAAUGGCUGCAGUAUUUUGACUGUACAAAGGUAGCAUAAUCAUUUGUCUUUUAAUUGAAGGCUUGUAUGAAUGGUUGGAUGAAAAAUAUACUUUCUUUAUUUUAUAUAAAAAAUUUAAUUUUCUAGUCAAAAAGCUAGGAUUUUUUUAUAGGACGAGAAGACCCUAUAGAACUUUAUUUUCUUUUUUUAUAAACUUUAUAGAUAAAUAUAAGUUUAUAUAUUUUUGUUAAUUUUGUUGGGGUGAUUGAAAAAAUUUUUUAACUUUUUCUAUUUUUUACAUUUAUAUAUGUUUUUUUGAUCCUUUAUUAUGGAAUAAAAGAUUAAGUUACCUUAGGGAUAACAGCGUUAUUUUUUUGGAGAGUUCUUAUCGAUAAGAAAGUUUGCGACCUCGAUGUUGG
This 616-nucleotide ribosomal RNA is filed under the name Apolygus lucorum. Its description in RNAcentral is "partial 16S ribosomal RNA". The stretch from base 147 to 306 matches the Rfam family "Bacterial large subunit ribosomal RNA", at positions 1791 to 2013 of the family's 2925-position model. The record is from RNAcentral. Lineage: Eukaryota; Metazoa; Arthropoda; Insecta; Hemiptera; Miridae.